ACGUAGGUGGCAAGCGUUGUCCGGAUUUACUGGGUAUAAAGGGAGCGCAGGCGGGAGAGCAAGUCAGCGGUGAAAUACAUGGGCUUAACCCAUGAACUGCCGUUGAAACUGUUUUUCUUGAGUGAAGUAGAGGCAGGCGGAAUUCCGAGUGUAGCGGUGAAAUGCGUAGAUAUUCGGAGGAACACCAGUGGCGAAGGCGGCCUGCUGGGCUUUUACUGACGCUGAGGCUCGAAAGCGUGGGGAGCAAACAG
Molecule: ribosomal RNA, 251 nt
Filed under: uncultured bacterium
Lineage: Bacteria
Description: partial 16S ribosomal RNA
Rfam family: Bacterial small subunit ribosomal RNA
Source: RNAcentral